GACGAACGCUGGCGGCGUGCCUAAUACAUGCAAGUUGAGCGCUGAAGGUUGGUACUUGUACCCACUGGAUGAGCAGCGAACGGGUGAGAACGCGUGGGGAAUCUGCCUUUGAGCGGGGGACAACAUUUGGAAACGAAUGCUAAUACCGCAUAAAAACUUUAAACACAAGUUUUAAGUUUGAAAGAUGCAAUUGCAUCACUCAAAGAUGAUCCCGCGUUGUAUUAGCUAGUUGGUGAGGUAAAGGCUCACCAAGGCGAUGAUACAUAGCCGACCUGAGAGGGUGAUCGGCCACAUUGGGACUGAGACACGGCCCAAACUCCUACGGGAGGCAGCAGUAGGGAAUCUUCGGCAAUAGACGAAAGUCUGACCGAGCAACGCCGCGUGAGUGAAGAAGGUUUUCGGAUCGUAAAACUCUGUUGGUAGAGAAGAACGUUGGUGAGAGUGGAAAGCUCAUCAAGUGACGGUAACUACCCAGAAAGGGACGGCUAACUACGUG
This 496-nucleotide ribosomal RNA is filed under the name uncultured bacterium. RNAcentral describes it as "partial 16S ribosomal RNA". It matches the Rfam family "Bacterial small subunit ribosomal RNA", at positions 28 to 507 of the family's 1533-position model. The record is from RNAcentral.